UGCCAGCCGCCGCGGUAGUACGGAGGGUGCAAGCGUUAUCCGGAUUUAUUGGGUUUAAAGGGUGCGUAGGCGGAAUAAUAAGUCAGUGGUGAAAUCCUGCGGCUCAACCGUAGAACUGCCAUUGAUAUUGUCAUUUUUGAAUAUAGUUGAGGUAGGCGGAAUUCCUAGUGUAGCGGUGAAAUGCGUAGAUAUUACACAGAACACCGAUUGCGAAGGCAGCUUGCUAAACUAUGAUUGACGCUGAUGCACGAAAGCGUGGGGAGCGAAAAGGAUUAGAUA
RNAcentral lists this ribosomal RNA (279 nucleotides) under uncultured bacterium. RNAcentral describes it as "partial 16S ribosomal RNA". It matches the Rfam family "Bacterial small subunit ribosomal RNA", at positions 506 to 784 of the family's 1533-position model. The record is from RNAcentral.